AUAUUACUGAGUUAGGGUCUUUAUGGCCCGACCUCCAACCCUUUGUUUAAUCUACCAUGUUGCUUUGGCAGGCCCGCUUAGAAAUGGGCCGCCGGAGACCUUUGAGUCUCUGGUCAGUGCCUGCCAGUAGCCUUUCUAAAUUCAUUUAUAACCGUGUCUGAAUAUACAAAGAAAAAUUAAAAUAAAACUUUCAACAACGGAUCUCUUGGUUCUGGCAUCGAUGAAGAACGCAGCGAAAUGCGAUAAGUAAUGCGAAUUGCAGAAUUCAGUGAGUCAUCGAAUCUUUGAACGCACAUUGCGCCCUUUGGCAUUCCGAAGGGCAUGCCUGUUCGAGCGUCAUUAUCAACCCUCAAGCUUGGCUUGUUGUUGGAUCGUUUGUCGUGGUGACACGCCGAAGAUCCGAAAGACAAUGGCGGUGUCGUGUUGACCCCUCGUGCAAUGAGCUUUACAGCACGCACGGAUGAGGCUCAGCCGGCCCGGUCCUUACUUUUAAUAACUUAAAGUUGACCUCGGAUCAGGUAGGAAUACCCGCUGAACUUAAGC
This 543-nucleotide ribosomal RNA is filed under the name Ceratosporella novae-zelandiae. RNAcentral's name for it is "eukaryotic LSU rRNA". The stretch from base 186 to 339 matches the Rfam family "5.8S ribosomal RNA". Lineage: Eukaryota; Fungi; Ascomycota. The record is from RNAcentral.